GGGAGAGAGACAUUCAUAUUCUGUCUCAGGAACAUAUUACAGAGGAGUUCAAACAUUCCCAACCAAAUACAACAACAACAAAAAAGAAAAGAAAAGCGAAAGAAGUAGAAGAAGGAAAGGGGGGAGAAAAACAAGUCAAGACACUGGGGAUAGGUGCAGCAGUGUCCGCAUCCUGGAACAGAUGGAGAUGAGAAGACGUGUGAUGGAAGCGAAUGAAAGAGAGCAAAGGGAGAACACAGGGAGCAGAAAGAGGAAAACAACACACAGCAGAGCCAGCAGAGAGUUGAUCAUCUGUUCCUUGGGACACCAGAGACCCCAUUUUAAAUCUGAACAGCUCUGAACGUCACUGAAUGGCACACUCCAAAGGUUGGAUAUGCUGCAGCCCUUUUUGUGGGUGUUCCAAAUGGCUGAGGUAGUCAAAUUCACCCACCUGGCUAUUUUUCAAAUGGAUCAUGCAAAGUUUGAGGUGGAGCAUGCACAGAGGUCUGUGUAAAAUGUAACCAGCCCAGAUGACAGACCCAUACCGAUACUGGUCAAGUUCCUG
Molecule: long non-coding RNA, 544 nt
Organism: Oncorhynchus tshawytscha (Chinook salmon)
Lineage: Eukaryota; Metazoa; Chordata; Actinopteri; Salmoniformes; Salmonidae
Source: Ensembl